Molecule: ribosomal RNA, 253 nt
Filed under: uncultured bacterium
Lineage: Bacteria
Description: partial 16S ribosomal RNA
Rfam family: Bacterial small subunit ribosomal RNA
Source: RNAcentral
GACGUAGGGCGCGAGCGUUGUCCGGAUUUAUUGGGCGUAAAGAGCUCGUAGGCGGCUUGUCGCGUCGACUGUGAAAACCCGCGGCUCAACUGCGGGCCUGCAGUGGGUACGGGCAGACUAGAGUGCGGUAGGGGAGACUGGAAUUCCUGGUGUAGCGGUGAAAUGCGCAGAUAUCAGGAGGAACACCGGUGGCGAAGGCGGGUCUCUGGGCCGUAACUGACGCUGAGGAGCGAAAGCGUGGGGAGCGAACAGG